This 624-nucleotide long non-coding RNA is filed under the name Cyanistes caeruleus (blue tit). Its description in RNAcentral is "lncRNA (ENSCCEG00000004556.1)". Lineage: Eukaryota; Metazoa; Chordata; Aves; Passeriformes; Paridae. The record is from RNAcentral.
AAACUAUUGGCUCACAUCCCUCAAAAAUGGCAAAUCAGUGAUUUUCCUAGACUAUUAACAGACAGAGGCACUCAGAGUUUAGCUCAUGCUGCUCAGCUGAGCCUGCUCUCAGCUGAAGUUUGCCAAGGGCAGGCAAUGUUCUUAAAGGAUUCAUUUUACUGGUGAUAUGCAGUAUAAGGCAAGGACACAUGAAGGCUCAUCAUAAUUAUUCCUACCAAAUCUGUGAAACUUCCUGAGGAAGAAGUGUAAAGCAAGAGAUGACCCCAAUCCACCUACCUUCAUGCCCUCUUGAAAAUGCUACCCAAAUGCAGGACAAGCUGGAGAUCCAAAAAAGAUCAAUCCAGAGCUAAAUGAGCUCACAGGACACAAACAGGGAAUAAUCCACAGUUGGCUCAUGCUAUUGGCAUUUGUGCUUUGCUUUUCUACCACUGAAGAUCCCUCUACGUCCCUUGAUGCUGCUAGGAGAGAUGUUGGCACUUCUCUAGAAUGAAAAAAAAGUAUCAGCAUAUUUUCUAUGGAAGUCCUUCAUAAGAACACCUGGAUGAACUCAGUCUACAAGUCUUGGACCAAGUUCAUAAUGAAACAUCUGACUUGACAAAAGUUUCCAAUAAACUUAUGAGUAUG